Molecule: ribosomal RNA, 125 nt
Filed under: Enterococcus faecalis
Lineage: Bacteria; Bacillati; Bacillota; Bacilli; Lactobacillales; Enterococcaceae
Description: partial 16S ribosomal RNA
Rfam family: Bacterial small subunit ribosomal RNA
Source: RNAcentral
UUUUAUUAUGAGAGUUUGAUCCUGGCUCAGGACGAACGCUGGCGGCGUGCCUAAUACAUGCAAGUCGAACGCUUCUUUCCUCCCGAGUGCUUGCACUCAAUUGGAAAGAGGAGUGGCGGACGGGU